Molecule: long non-coding RNA, 3647 nt
Organism: Onychostoma macrolepis
Lineage: Eukaryota; Metazoa; Chordata; Actinopteri; Cypriniformes; Cyprinidae
Exons: 10
Source: RefSeq, a predicted model, not a curated record
ACAAAUGAUGUUGAUCUUUGAUCGGGUUUUGACGGAUUUACAAUGAUUUACAACGAUACGGGGAUUUAGAUUUAUUAGAGGUUGUCCGACAUAUUCACUGGCAUACGGGACACCCACGCGCUGAACAGUCAUGAAGCAGAACCAGACGAGGGAAGCUGUUAGAGACCGUUUGGAUUAUUAUUUGGAUGGCUCCCCCUAGUGGGCUCUGAGGCGUGUGCACCACCCCUUGACAUGUUCUGGCCCUGACCCCUACUGGGUGGAGCGGGGUGAACUUCCUUCCUGUGGAGACCCACGAAGGUUCUUCGAAACAACAGUUAUUUCCUGGGAUGCCAGUGUUGCCCGGAUAUGAGUGCAUAUAGUAAACAGAGCUGUUCAUACAGUUUGUAGCCUCGUAAGCAGGAAAUGGAGAUGAACACGGAUACAGCAACACUUAAUCACCAGCAUUACUCUUACCUCACUAGAUUUGUAUUUAUGAGGACUAGAGUUACUUAUAAUGAGAGACUGAAGAUGGGGGUACACCGACCACAACCUUCAGAUUAGACGUUGUCCAUGUUGUCGGCAGUUGCAAUUGAUAUAAAUAAAAAGUUAAGCUGAUGCAAUGUUAAAAUCCUUUCUCCUUUUCCCAGGUUAAUGUCAAGAAAUGACACGAUAAUGUGUAAACACUUUGGUCUGUGGCGCUUUUGGCAUUGCUUUAUUUAUUUAAGCAGCCACUGAGAAUUUGAGCAGAAUUUUUGUGCAUUUAUUGAGGGUAAUCAAGACCCAUGUGGCUUUAAAUGUACAUCUCAAUUGUACCGUUAAGUUACAGUGGGCUCAUUGGGGACCAGUAGUGAGUUUGAACUAGUGCCAAGAACUACGCUGCGGUUCUAUAUGCUGGGAAACAUCCCACUCUUACUUUCUCAACAAUAUUUUCUUUCCUUUAUGUACCCUUGAUCUCCUACACAGCCUGAUAGAUUUACAUUCAUGAAUUUGGCAGUUGUUUUUAACCAAAGCAGCAGACUUUGCAUUCAGGGUAUACAUUUUAUCAUUUCAUGCAUUCCCUGAAAAUUAAACCCAUGGCUGUGGCAUUGCUGGAGUCACGCUCUAUUGUUUGAACCCUGGAAUGCAUCAGGGUGUCGUUCAAAAUAUAUGAAAGGCUUUUGUCACUUGGCAUGUACUGACACACCUUUAGGAAUGCUUUUCAUACACCUGAGCUUUCUUUUUGUCAAUAAUACAUGCUAAAAGUUAGAAGUGUAGUUUAUUUUGUUUCAUUUUGCUUUGCUUUGAAUUUUUGUUUAUUUUUUUGGUUUAUUUUGCUUUGUUUUGAAAUGUUUUUUUUUUUUUGUGUUUGCUUUGUUUUGCCUUUUGUUUUCAUUUUGUUUUGCUUUGUUUGUAAUUGCGUUUUGUUUUGCUUUGUUUUUAUUUUGUUUUGCCUCGUUUUGCUUUGUUUUAAAUUGCUUUUUUUUGUUGUUUUUUGUCUUUGAUUUGAUUUGCUCUUCUCUUUGUUUUUUCUCUACUCUUGAGUCUUUUUUUGUUGUUGUUUGUUUAUUUGUUUGUUUGCGUUGCCUUGCUUUAUUUUGUUAAAUUAUUAGUAUUUUAUUUUUUGUUUUGUUUUUCUUUGAUUUGCUUUGCUUUUGUCUCACAACCCAUGUGACCCAUUUUAUCUCUUUACUCUGCUAUGACAGGCCUUUUGAGUUUGAAUUAUCCAGCUGGGCCUCUGGAAGGCCUGAUUCCUGACCCUUAACAUUUGCACUAUAAACCUGACCAACAGCAGGAGGAGACACUGACUCAAUCUUCAAGCAAACAUCAGGCUCACCUACAGGGUUCCACUGCAGAUUUCGGCCUGCUGGUUGUUGGGGUGGUUGUCAUGGGCGGAGCCAAACAUCUGGAGCGAUAAGACUUUCUGCCAUGUGCUCGGAGUUGCCCUUCCAUCCACUUUAUAUAACCUGAUCUUACAGUGACGUGUGUGAGAUUAAACGCGAAGUCCAGGCUUGCAGGACACGGGUCGGAUGAAAUUGUUUUGCAGACAAGGCCAGUAUCCAUCCUGAAACAUCACUCUUCUGUAAUUCUGCUCAGGACAACAGAGGAUCGGAAAACCUGAGAACACUCUUGAAAUGGCAACAGGAAACAAGGAGAAAUGAAGUGAUCUCCAUGCCAGAGGCUCUUUAGAGAUCCAAGAGUCCCAUCAGCAGUAGCGCAGAAUGGUCCAUAAACCCAGCGGUCUCCACUCAAGUUUCCAUCUGCUAAAUUCUAGUCCGUUUAAAUAAGAGGCGGAAUCUUUUUCCAGCAAGUACAUUUAUUGCUUGACAUUUCCUCUUGUGAAAUGGUCGUAGCAGAACAUCACAACAGCAUAUGCUGAGCAUGCAAGUGUUGUUCACUGGAGAAACUAUCAGGAGCAAAAUGGGAUACCACAAUAACUGCUGUACUGAGAUUGGUGGGACAGCCAGAUAGACGUGUGAGAAUUGGCUUCAACAUCCUUGACCUUCAGGGAGUGUUUGUUUAUGCUGAAGAAACAGAGAGCUGAGUGUGCAUAACUGCUCUGCAAAUCAGGAAAUUAUAUAUUAAAAGGUUCCUGUUUCCUCAUGUAUCAGAGUACCACAGGACAAGCUCUGCCUUGUCAAGCUCCAUCUCCUUGCUCUGGGACAAUAAGAACGUCUCCACCAAGAUCCUGGAUCACUGACAAACAAAGCAUUGCACUGGCGUGACAGAAAAGUGAUGACAGGCCGGCUGUAUCCCCUGCUGAGUAGAUGGCUGCACAUUAAUUUGGACAAAGCUGGACGGAAGAAGACAAGCCAGAACAGAAUUGUCAUUUUUGGUGUCCCGCAUCUAAUUUCAAGACAGUGGAUAUGCACACACAGACAGAGUUUCACCGAGAUCGACGUAGGAUGAUGAAAGUAUCAACUGAACAUAUGGUAAAUCUCAUCCAUUCCGACUGUUAAUGUUGAGAGAAAUCUGGUUUGUUACAAUUGCCUCCUGUGUCCCUCCUGUGCCAUUUACUGUCCUCAUAAACACUCAUCCUUCACUGUCCAGUCACCUCAAAGAAAGCGGUAUCAGGAUGGGAUGAAGACAAUCCACUGUUUUCAUGAACCAGCCCUCUCUCCUAAAUGUCUGUCCUCCGUUCUGGCUGAAAGAGAAGCUCUGUUCUCCACUGGACAACAUGGUGCAGAUACAACAGGAAAAGGACCGUCUUGUUAGCAGCUUGUGAGCAGAGCGUUUCAUUUCAGAUGCACAGACUGAGGGGGUGGAUGGAUGGAUGAAAGGGUGAAGAGACUGGAAAAAUGUCACCCCGCAAAUAGAGGCAGGCUUGAAUGUUUUGUCCCCUUAAUGGGCCACAGAUAUGGACAUUCCAGUCCUUUUGUGUUUUUGGAUUUGAUUUUGACCAUAACUGAAGAAUGUGAAAGCAGGGCUGGCCAAAGUGGAGCGUGUUUCACACAGAACUGAAUCUUUCCAGACAAUUGAUGUUUGUUUUCAGGCUGAGAGAAUCUUAUUUUGCCUGGAAUCUUAUUCAUAUAGUUCACGGAAACUUUCUGGCCUGCGGUGAUGGAUGUGUGUUGCACAACUCUACACAUUUAUAGGCUGCAUGAACUGAAAUAAAAUGAACUGACAACAGUACAUCAUGUAGUGAGGUCCAAAUGUCUGAGACCAAUAAAUGUUUGUAUUUUGAAAUCGUA